GACACACUCACGCACCCGCCCGGUGGCGCGCGCGCCCUGCCUCUCCAUCUCGCCCACCGCCCGCUUUUACGCAUCUCUCCCUCCCGCGGAGGCAGGACCGGACAGGACCCCCGCUCCCGACCCGGCCGGCAGAAGGCGAACACUUCGGUGAGACAGUCUUCUCAGGGGAAGCUGGGCCUGGAGCUCCGAGCCGGAGACGCCACCGCCUAGGCCCGGGACGUGGUCGCCGCCCCCUCCUCAGAAGCCCCCACCUCAGCAGCAGCAUCCGGGGGUCGAGGCCCAGAGAGGGGCCUGGAAGGGCAGGGAGGCUGGAGCUUUUCCUGGGACGGAGGCAUCGUGUUCCUGGACCCCUGAGGCUGGGGGUCUUCAGACUCCAGAAGCCUGCUCAGUCCUCCCUGUUCCGAGGAAGCCUUCUGCCUGCCUCAACUUUCAGCACACGGUGUGCUGUGCAGCAACAAGGCUUUCUGAGUUCUGCCUGGGUUCUCGACUCCUCGGCUGUCUAGAGAUCAGAGAGGAGAGAUUUCUACUAGCCUUCUCUAGGAUCCUUAUCUCCAGACCUGAGCCCAGAUCCUAUUCCUGACCUGGGUCCUCUGACCGAUGGACCGGCCAGCCCGUCCCCGUCGCUGCCGCCUCACUAGCCACGUGUGCCAGCCGAGCGUCUAAUACGCCUCCGCCGGCGGGGCCGGGCCGAGAGGAGGACGGGCGGGCAAGAGGCACGUGGCCCGGGACAACGAGGACCAAGACGACGACGAGGAGGAAGAGGAGGCGGAGGAGG
Ornithorhynchus anatinus (platypus) is the source of this 775-nucleotide RNA transcript. RefSeq lists it as uncharacterized. NCBI's taxonomy places the organism in Eukaryota, Metazoa, Chordata, Mammalia, Monotremata, Ornithorhynchidae. The record is from RefSeq and is a predicted model, not a curated record. The transcript has 4 exons.